This is a long non-coding RNA of Gorilla gorilla gorilla (western lowland gorilla), 947 nucleotides long. RefSeq lists it as uncharacterized. NCBI's taxonomy places the organism in Eukaryota, Metazoa, Chordata, Mammalia, Primates, Hominidae. The record is from RefSeq and is a predicted model, not a curated record. The transcript is spliced from 3 exons.
CCCACCACUUCUUUCCUGCGCUCCCAGAUCUGCUGUAACUGACAUUUUCCGUCUGACAGGUUCUGUUUUCCCUGCCUCUGGUUGCCAGGGAAACAAGCGAAGAGGACCGCAGCCAGAGAGCUGUUAGCUGCCUUUUUAAGGCGCCCUGGACAUAAACAGCACUUUCCAUAAUGGAAGCUGGGCACGGAGGCUUAAAAAAACCAAAACAAUACAGAAGAGGAGGCUAAAGUGGGAAAAAGUCGGGGUGGGGUCCCCACCAGGUUAAUGGGAGAGUAAAAGAAGAAAUAAAAAUCCUGGAAAAUCUCACACUCUUGGACAAAACCAGCCCCCUUCCUGAAAGGUCUGAUUCUCUCCUUGACGUGCAAAAAAGGAGAAACUGGACCUCCAGACCCCUACCUCCUAACGUCUUCUAUGAAGCCAAAAUCUCUGCAGCCAAGCCUCAGCCCAGCUACAGGGAACCUGGGCUCUAUUGAGCUGCAGGGGAGCUAUUCGGAUUGAAUCACCCUCCAGGCUAAAAGAUGCUCUAAUGGAAGUGAUGGGGUCCGUCUCCAAUUUGGAGACCGCGCAGGCCUAUCCUUCAAAAAAGUGGGCCCUGGAAGGGGGAAAGACAGAUCUCCUGUAGUAAAAAGGAGGACAUGACUGUCGUCAUCCUGAACACUUGUCCACGUGCAUGACGACAUCCCUGCAUGAAGGAGCAAAGCCGCUGGCUGAGAGGAAGGACCGAUUUUAAAUGGAAAGAGCUGCCAUAUUGUGAUGAUACUCAAGAGCCCCAUGGAAAAUUCCACAUGAAGAGGAACUGAGGCCUCCAGCCAACAGCCAGCAACUACUUGCUCACCACAUGAAUGAGCCAUCUUGGAAGCAGACUCUCCCACCCCAGUUAAGCCUUCAAAUGACUCUAGCCCUGCCAACAUCUUGACAAAAGGCUCAGGAGAGAUGCCAACCUAGAA